GACGGUACAGGGUGAUAGUCCCGUACACCAAAAUGCACAGGCUGUGAACUCGAAGAGUAGGGCGGGACACGUGGUAUCCUGUCUGAAUAUGGGGGGACCAUCCUCCAAGGCUAAAUACUCCUGACUGACCGAUAGUGAACCAGUACCGUGAGGGAAAGGCGAAAAGAACCCCGGCGAGGGGAGUGAAAAAGAACCUGAAACCGUGUACGUACAAGCAGUGGGAGCACCUUCGGGUGUGACUGCGUACCUUUUGUAUAAUGGGUCAGCGACUUAUAUUCUGUAGCAAGGUUAACCGUAUAGGGGAGCCGCAGGGAAACCGAGUCUUAACUGGGCGUUAAGUUGCAGGGUAUAGACCCGAAACCCGGUGAUCUAGCCAUGGGCAGGUUGAAGGUUGGGUAACACUAACUGGAGGACCGAACCGACUAAUGUUGAAAAAUUAGCGGAUGACUUGUGGCUGGGGGUGAAAGGCCAAUCAAACCGGGAGAUAGCUGGUUCUCCCCGAAAGCU
RNAcentral lists this ribosomal RNA (507 nucleotides) under Klebsiella pneumoniae. RNAcentral describes it as "partial 23S ribosomal RNA". It matches the Rfam family "Bacterial large subunit ribosomal RNA", at positions 353 to 867 of the family's 2925-position model. Lineage: Bacteria; Pseudomonadati; Pseudomonadota; Gammaproteobacteria; Enterobacterales; Enterobacteriaceae. The record is from RNAcentral.